UGGGGGAUAUUGCACAAUGGGGGGGAACCCUGAUGCAGCGACGCCGCGUGGGUGAAGAAGCGCCUCGGCGCGUAAAGCCCUGUCAGCAGGGAAGAAAAUGACGGUACCUGAAGAAGAAGCCCCGGCUAACUACGUGCC
RNAcentral lists this ribosomal RNA (138 nucleotides) under uncultured bacterium. Its description in RNAcentral is "partial 16S ribosomal RNA". It matches the Rfam family "Bacterial small subunit ribosomal RNA", at positions 355 to 509 of the family's 1533-position model. The record is from RNAcentral.